This 795-nucleotide ribosomal RNA is filed under the name uncultured bacterium. Its description in RNAcentral is "bacterial SSU rRNA". It matches the Rfam family "Bacterial small subunit ribosomal RNA", at positions 8 to 796 of the family's 1533-position model. The record is from RNAcentral.
AGAGUUUGAUCAUGGCUCAGGAUGAACGCUAGCGGGAGGCUUAACACAUGCAAGUCGAGGGGCAUCACGAGGUAGCAAUACUUUGGUGGCGACCGGCGCACGGGUGAGUAACACGUAUGCAACCUACCCUUUACAGGGGGAUAGCCCGGAGAAAUUCGGAUUAAUACCCCAUGACAAUAUUGAGAGGCAUCUUUUGAUAUUUAAAGUUUCGACGGUAGAGGAUGGGCAUGCGCAACAUUAGCUAGUUGGUAGGGUAACGGCCUACCAAGGCUACGAUGUUUAGGGGACCUGAGAGGGUGAUCCCCCACACUGGUACUGAGACACGGACCAGACUCCUACGGGAGGCAGCAGUGAGGAAUAUUGGUCAAUGGGCGUAAGCCUGAACCAGCCAUCCCGCGUGCAGGAAGACGGCGCUAUGCGUUGUAAACUGCUUUUCCAGGGAAAGAAAACCCCCGACGUGUCGGGGCUUGCCGGUACCCUGGGAAUAAGCAUCGGCUAACUCCGUGCCAGCAGCCGCGGUAAUACGGAGGAUGCGAGCGUUAUCCGGAUUUAUUGGGUUUAAAGGGUGCGUAGGCGGGUUAAUAAGUCAGUGGUGAAAACCUUCAGCUUAACUGGAGACUUGCCAUUGAUACUGUUAGUCUUGAGUACGGUCAAGGUAGGCGGAAUGUGUAAUGUAGCGGUGAAAUGCUUAGAUAUUACACAGAACACCGAUUGCGAAGGCAGCUUACUGGACCAAUACUGACGCUGAUGCACGAAAGCGUGGGGAGCGAACAGGAUUAGAUACCCUAGUAGUCC